Long non-coding RNA from Gorilla gorilla gorilla (western lowland gorilla), 4683 nucleotides. RefSeq lists it as uncharacterized. The transcript is spliced from 2 exons. NCBI's taxonomy places the organism in Eukaryota, Metazoa, Chordata, Mammalia, Primates, Hominidae. The record is from RefSeq and is a predicted model, not a curated record.
CCCGCCACGACGCCCGGCUAAUUUUUUGUAUUUUUUAGUAGAGACGGGGUUUCACCAUGUUAGCAGGAUGGUCUUGAUUUCCUGACCUUGUGAUCCGCCCGCCUCGGCCUCCCAAAGUGCUGGGAUCAUAGGCGUGAGCCACCGCGCCCGGCCAAGAAAAACGCAUACUUUUAAGUCAGGUGGGGUGGCACGCACCUGUAGUCCCAACUACUCAGGAGGCUGAGGCAGAAGGAUUGCUUAAGGCCAGGAGUUUGAAGAUAUAGUGCACUAUGAUCAUACCUAGGAGUAGCCACUGCACUCCAGCCUAGGCAACAUACGAAACCCUGUUUCAAAAAAUAAAUUGGUACUUAAGCUAAUUUGUUAGUUUUUUAAAUCAUCUGUAACUGAAAAUAUCCUCGAUAUCCUCAUUGAUACUGUAUAUUAUUAUUACUAUCAUCUUCCCAUGUAUAUCAAACCUUUGUCAUUAGAUCAUAAUGUCCUUUGGAACAAAAAUGAACUAAAAUGAACUUACUGAGCAGUAUGCUGCCAUUCCACCUAGUACAGAUCUGGCACAUAGCAGGUUCUCGUCCAUUCACACUUCAUAUUGGAUACUAAUUUCACCCUGGUAUCUAUGGAUUUUCAGCAUUUAUUUAUUUAUUUAUUUUGAGAUGGAGGAGUCUCGCUCUGUCGCCCAGGCUAGGUUGCAAUGGUGCAAUCUUGGCUCAUUGCAACCUCCACCUCCUGGGUUCAAGUGUUCUCCUGCCUCAGCCUCCCAAGUACCUGAGACUACAGGCAUGCACCACCAUGCCAGCUAAUUUUUGUAUUUUUAGUAGAGACUGGGGUUUCACCAUGUUGGCCAGGCUGGUCUCAAAGUUCUCACUUCGGGUGAUCCGCCCACCUCAGCCUCCCAAAGUGCUGGGAUUAUAGCGGUGAAUUACCGUGCCCGGCCCAGACUUUGAGCAUCUUUAAGGAAGAAAGAGGAGGUGGCCAGAGUCCCAGGUAGGGUGAUGGCCUGCUGCUGCUUUGUCUUUUUACUGUCCUAUAAUGAGCGGAAAGUAAAAUAGUUAAUAGACUAGUUCAUCCUUAUUGAGCACCAGGGAUUGUACACACUGGAUCAUCAUUCUUCCUGUCAGUUACCUAUGGGUAUAUUAUUAAUGCCCUGUGUUGCAGAUUGGAAAUUUAUGCUCAACAAUGAUAUUUAACUUAUGUAGAUCACAUAGCCUCUACAUAGCAUAAUUUAGGAUCCUGUGCUCAAAUUACUGUAUCCAUAACUUUUUGUCAUCCCACUUUAAAGAAAAUGAAAUUAGAAGUCUUAGACAAUGCAUUCUGAGUAUGGCUUACAUACUCAGUAAAAUGGUAUACAGCGCUAAUCAACAGACCCAGACUCAAAAAGCUUUGGACUGCUACCAAGAGAUUCGUAAAUAAAUGUACAUUAACUUUAAAUAAAAUGUGUAUGGUAUGUAUGAUUCAUUUUUUAUGAUUUCUCACUUUCCCAACAUUUUCAGAUAACUCAUCGUUUCCUCAAUCACAUCAGAGAGAUCUUGAUGGUUUUCUUUUUGGAACUUAACAGUUUAAAAACCUAAAUAGGAUCAUGCCAAACAUAUUGUUCUGUGACUUGAUUUUUUUCAGUGGAUAAUCAUCUCUUGGAGUCUUGCCAUGCCAGUACAUAUACAUCUACUUCAUUCAUUGUAAGUGCAGAAUGCUUUUCAAUAGCAAGGAUAUGCCAGAAUUUUAUGACUUCCCAUAAUUAAUGGCAUUUGGGGGCCCUCCUUCACCAGUUGUUUGCUUGUAUACAUAAUGUGCCAUCAGCAUCGUCACACUUGCUUCUUUAUGCAUUCAAGUGCCAGUGGAAGGAGAAAGAUCUUGAAGUCCUGAUUCUAUCAAUUAAGUGGUCCAAGAAAGAGAAUGAGCAUCUUGAGGUCUCCAUCUUCAACAGCCUUACAGUCUGGAGGGAAGCAGACACACACACAGCUUUUACUUAGGGAGAUGGGGGUCAACUGAAGGUUAAGGGAGUGCAAAAAGAGGGAGACUGAGGGGUUCAGUCGAGGGGAUGACUGAGAAGGCUGCCUGGAGGAGGUGUGCUUGAGUCCUGGGUUCAAGGGUUAAAAGGCUCUGAUGCUUGGUCUGCUAAUCUUUCUUAUCGUAUCGUUGCCUGGCAGUAUGCCUGUUAUUUGAGUGGACUCUUCUUGGACCAUUUGCUUGGAUGAACAGUGGGCAGAAGUGGAAAGGAAGGGUGCUCUGGACAAAGGUGACAAAGCCCAGGAACAAAAGUCGGAAAGUGCACAGUGUGCCCAGAGGGCCAGGAAUUGGGUGGAGUGACUGGCUCCUUGGUCGCUUGCAAGUAGCAUGAGAACAGAGAGGGCUGGGAGCAUGCACUAAAAAGCACUAGGACAAAUUUAGGUUUGCACAGAAAAGGACGUUUCAUCAGGGUACGUGAGGAAAGUUGAGUAGAGAAUUUAGGAAUGGAGCAGACGACUCUGGUUGGGAUGAUGAGAGCGGAGAGACAGAUCCAUGUUCUUUCCAGGUGCCCCAGCAGCUCCAGGUCUCGCUGAACCUGUUACUAUGGCAGCGUCUAUGCUUCACUUUUGAGGAUUGCUUCUGCUUUGAAAUAGCCAUGUGGAAGAAAAACUACAAAGUUUUGAGGGGGAAAAAAACGCACCUAACUUUAGCUGCCGUUGUGUCUUCAUCUGUAAAAAUCUUCUUCAUGUCUCAUGGAUUUCAACAUGCAGUUUAUCUUGGUUUGUUCCAUAAAACAUCAGAUGCAACUUUAAUGGCCUAACCCCAAAAAGAUAACUUGGCAGCCAUCAAGCAUUCAGCAGCGUUCCAAAUGCCCUCUUGCUGGAGCCAGCCUUCUACGGGGCCAUGUGGAUGUCAGGCACACACAAUUUGAGUCACGCUGACAUAGCUGGGAUGCCUGGAUUGCACUGGAAUCUGGGGGGUACCAAUCACAGGCCAGAGAGAAGCCAUUGGCUGGAAGGAACAAUGCCAGCGUGUUCACCGUCUCUGCAGAAGGAGGGGGUGUUGAUGGUGAGGGGAAUGACAGUUGCAGCCAAAGGAGCAAAAUGACCCCAAAGCAGGGUGGGCACAUGUCAGUGAUGCUGGGCAGAAGCACUCCAGGGGCUCAGGUCAUGACCACACCCCUUUUCUCCUGCCCCACAACCAGAAAAAUUAAGAAGGUACAAGAUUUUCCCUAAAACUUAAUGUACAGAAUACCCUGCUGUCUUCAGGUUUUUGGGAAAUCCAGGGUUCACAACAACAGCCCAAAUAUAUGAAGCACUUACCUCUACCAGGCACUGUCUGUAUCUUACAAAUAAUUCAUUUAAUUCUCACAACUCCUUAAUGAGGUAACUUUUACAAUUUCCAUUUUAUGAUGAGGGAAACUGAGGCUUAGAAAGAUUAAGAAACUUGCCCAAAUCCUGCAGCCAGAAAUGGGCAGAAUCAAGACAUGAACCACAGUCUCUCAAAAGCCAAAGCCUGGGCACUCACUACUACCCUCAACAGCCCGGUGGCUGGUUCAUGCCAUCUGUGCCACCCUCACACAGCCACCUCUUGGAUGGUAGAACCCUGUGUGUUGAACAAGUAGAGAAACAUUCUACAAGGAUUCUUUUUCCUCCCCUGUUUUCCUGGGGGCUGAGUAGCCAUGUUUAAACAUGCUGUUCAUCCGACACUUGUUUACUUCAGUGCCUGUGAUGUGCAAGACCCCAGACCAGGAACAGUAAGAGGGCAUGAGGAUAACCCAGCGUGGAGACCACUCUGGAGGAGGCUGCAGACUGGAGGCGCUGUCGUAGCCAGCUGCAUUUUGGAGUCUGGGUUGCAUGUCUUAGAUCUCGAAUGAGUUUGGUCAUUAUUUUUUCAGCCGGGGUUUUCUUCCUCCCUCCCUGUCUUCCUUCCUUUUCUCCUUCCUUCCUUCAUUCCUUCCUUCCUUCCUUUCUUCCUUCCUUCUUUCCUCCCUCCCUCCCUUCCUUCUUCCUUUCUCUCUUUCUUUUAUUUUCUCUCUUUCUUUCUUUUAUUUUCUCUCUUUCUCUGUCUCUCUCUUUCUUCCUCCCUCCCUCCCUUUCUCUCCUUCUUUCUUUCUCCCUCCCUCCUCUCCUCCCUCUCUUGGUCUCUCUCUCUCUCUCCCUUCCUUCCUUUGUUCUUUCAAGAUUUUUCUUUCUUUCUUUCUUUUUUUAAAGGUGUAAGCCUUUUUCUGGUUUACUACAUGCCAAGGACUGCGCUAAAUCAUUCACAUGAAACCACCAGCGUGCAUCACCUCGUUUGGUCCUCCCACAGUCUAACGGAAGAAUCUACCAUAAAACCAACAGACUCCUCCUGAUCUCUACCUGUGCUGUCUGCCUCUCUAGUUCCGGACACUGAGAGCUGGUGCCCUGUGGCCACCUCAAGCUGGAACCCUGCAAGAUCACCAAGAAGACUGCGUGCCUCGCUCUAGCCUUCCGAAGGGAAAGUAGACUCCUGUUUUUGAGAGAAAUUACCUGAUUUCGAGAGAAACGUAAAGGACUUUUUUUUCCUUAACAUUCCACUCGUAAAAAUGAAGUUUGGAAGAACUUCUGCAAACUCUGAGUGUUUUGGUCAAUUGACCUUUUACUGUACUAAGCAAAUCUGAAGCCACAAAUACAUUGGGGAGGAAGGUAUACCCUUCACAAAAGAUUCGUCACUUAGCCAGAUACUCUGUUGCCAUGCUUCUUUAAAUAAAGCACAUUUCUGGUA